AAAUUGAAGAGUUUGAUCAUGGCUCAGAUUGAACGCUGGCGGCAGGCCUAACACAUGCAAGUCGAACGGUAACAGGAAGCAGCUUGCUGCUUUGCUGACGAGUGGCGGACGGGUGAGUAAUGUCUGGGAAACUGCCUGAUGGAGGGGGAUAACUACUGGAAACGGUAGCUAAUACCGCAUAAUGUCGCAAGACCAAAGAGGGGGACCUUCGGGCCUCUUGCCAUCGGAUGUGCCCAGAUGGGAUUAGCUUGUUGGUGGGGUAACGGCUCACCAAGGCGACGAUCCCUAGCUGGUCUGAGAGGAUGACCAGCCACACUGGAACUGAGACACGGUCCAGACUCCUACGGGAGGCAGCAGUGGGGAAUAUUGCACAAUGGGCGCAAGCCUGAUGCAGCCAUGCCGCGUGUAUGAAGAAGGCCUUCGGGUUGUAAAGUACUUUCAGCGGGGAGGAAGGGAGUAAAGUUAAUACCUUUACUCAUUGACGUUACCCGCAGAAGAAGCACCGGCUAACUCCGUGCCAGCAGCCGCGGUAAUACGGAGGGUGCAAGCGUUAAUCGGAAUUACUGGGCGUAAAGCGCACGCAGGCGGUUUGUUAAGUCAGAUGUGAAAUCCCCGGGCUCAACCUGGGAACUGCAUCUGAUACUGGCAAGCUUGAGUCUCGUAGAGGGGGGUAGAAUUCCAGGUGUAGCGGUGAAAUGCGUAGAGAUCUGGAGGAAUACCGGUGGCGAAGGCGGCCCCCUGGACGAAGACUGACGCUCAGGUGCGAAAGCGUGGGGAGCAAACAGGAUUAGAUACCCUGGUAGUCCACGCCGUAAACGAUGUCGACUUGGAGGUUGUGCCCUUGAGGCGUGGCUUCCGGAGCUAACGCGUUAAGUCGACCGCCUGGGGAGUACGGCCGCAAGGUUAAAACUCAAAUGAAUUGACGGGGGCCCGCACAAGCGGUGGAGCAUGUGGUUUAAUUCGAUGCAACGCGAAGAACCUUACCUGGUCUUGACAUCCACGGAAGUUUUCAGAGAUGAGAAUGUGCCUUCGGGAACCGUGAGACAGGUGCUGCAUGGCUGUCGUCAGCUCGUGUUGUGAAAUGUUGGGUUAAGUCCCGCAACGAGCGCAACCCUUAUCCUUUGUUGCCAGCGGUCCGGCCGGGAACUCAAAGGAGACUGCCAGUGAUAAACUGGAGGAAGGUGGGGAUGACGUCAAGUCAUCAUGGCCCUUACGACCAGGGCUACACACGUGCUACAAUGGCGCAUACAAAGAGAAGCGACCUCGCGAGAGCAAGCGGACCUCAUAAAGUGCGUCGUAGUCCGGAUUGGAGUCUGCAACUCGACUCCAUGAAGUCGGAAUCGCUAGUAAUCGUGGAUCAGAAUGCCACGGUGAAUACGUUCCCGGGCCUUGUACACACCGCCCGUCACACCAUGGGAGUGGGUUGCAAAAGAAGUAGGUAGCUUAACCUUCGGGAGGGCGCUUACCACUUUGUGAUUCAUGACUGGGGUGAAGUCGUAACAAGGUAACCGUAGGGGAACCUGCGGUUGGAUCACCUCCUUA
Molecule: ribosomal RNA, 1542 nt
Filed under: Escherichia coli
Lineage: Bacteria; Pseudomonadati; Pseudomonadota; Gammaproteobacteria; Enterobacterales; Enterobacteriaceae
Description: bacterial SSU rRNA
Rfam family: Bacterial small subunit ribosomal RNA
Source: RNAcentral